CUGAGUUAGGGUCUUUUAGGCCCGACCUCCAACCCUUUGUUUAACAAACCCUGUUGCUUUGGUGGGCCUGCCUUCUAGGAGGCUGUCGGGGGUGUUGUCACCCUUGAUCCGUGCCCACCAGUAGCCUUCUUAAAUAUUCUUUAUAACUGUGUCGUCUGAGUAUCAAUAUUAAAUAUUUUA
Molecule: unclassified non-coding RNA, 180 nt
Filed under: uncultured fungus
Lineage: Eukaryota; Fungi
Description: sequence contains ITS1, 5.8S rRNA gene
Source: RNAcentral